Salmo salar (Atlantic salmon) is the source of this 1047-nucleotide non-coding RNA. The record is from RefSeq and is a predicted model, not a curated record. Lineage: Eukaryota; Metazoa; Chordata; Actinopteri; Salmoniformes; Salmonidae.
CGAUCAGUAAACGGAAGUUGAGACUACAGCGUUACAAAAUGACCAAACCGUGGAAUAAUGCGGAACUAUUAUCCGCGCUACAUUGUUCCACCGUAGGAAAUAAAAUAUUGUUACACCCACAGAAGACAACUUAGUACAAAGUACCGAAGAUAAUCAAUUCUGGUUAAUAAACUAUUGUUCUCUAGUACAGGUUGUCACUCGGAGAGCAAUGGGGGUACACGGGCUGUGGAAGCUGCUUGAGACCACCGGGAAGCCCAUCAAUCCCGAGACACUCGAGGGCAAGAUCCUGGCUGUCGACAUCAGUAUCUGGUUGAAGCAGGCGGUGAAGGGUGUGAGAGACAGGGAGGGAGACAUCAGUAUCUGGUUGAAGCAGGUGGUGAAGGGUGUGAGAGACAGGGAGGGAGACAGUAUCUAGAACGCCCACCUCCUCACCUUGUUCCAUCGCCUCUGUAAUGGUCAGGAUCAUCUGCCCAGCCUGUCUGCUGGGAGGAGAGAGGAGGACAUGUACAUUCUGCCUGCCCUGCCAGCCCAGGAGGAGGAGGAGGAGGAGAGAGAGAGGAGCAGCUCAGAGGAGGAGCAGGAGGGGGAGGACGACAGCCAUCACAUCUACCAGGGGGAUUUAUAUGAAGACUCUGUGGACAUGGACUCUGAGGAGUUUUCUGCCAUGCCUCCUGAGGUGAAACACGAGAUUCUUAAAGACAUGAAGGAAUUCAGCAAGAGACGACGCACCAUGUACCACACACCUCCUGAGCAGGAAGACAGAAGAGACUCUACAUCCUGUUAUCAAACAGCUCACAGCAGAGGAUAUGGGAAGAGCCAGCCAUGAUGUGGGAGUGGCCAGCCAAGAAAGGAAGAAAGAAGUAGGAGUGGUUAGUCAGAAUACGGGAGGGGCCAACCUGGUUGUGGGAGGGGCCAGCCAGCAGAGGAAGGAAGCGCCUCCUCCUAAUAACGGCGUACCUAAACUCCUCCCCAGUAGGACGGAGCGGAGCGGCGGCGACAGCGGGGUCGCCGUGGUAACGGCCCAGUCCGUGUUCGGGGGCCAACCGA